UUCCAUGCCCCUUGGCAGUCACCAUUCCACCUGACCAUUUGAUUUCUUUUCUCUCUUUUUUUUGGUUCAGGCGUUCUUGCACUGUUCUUUUUUUUUUUUUUUUUUGCAGGAUCGACCUCGAUUCCUCUUAUCCGCUCAUNUUUUUUUUUUUUUUUUUUUUUUUUUUUUUUUUGCAGGAUCGACCUCGAUUCCUCUUAUCCGCUCAUAAUAAGCCUCGGCAGCUUACCGGACAGCACUCCAUAAGUGCACUGAUUCGAACUUAACAGUAUG
Molecule: long non-coding RNA, 270 nt
Filed under: Lathyrus oleraceus (garden pea)
Lineage: Eukaryota; Viridiplantae; Streptophyta; Magnoliopsida; Fabales; Fabaceae
Description: Pisum sativum (pea) long non-coding RNA (PSAT_LNC003803)
Source: RNAcentral